Molecule: long non-coding RNA, 435 nt
Organism: Panthera uncia (snow leopard)
Lineage: Eukaryota; Metazoa; Chordata; Mammalia; Carnivora; Felidae
Exons: 3
Source: RefSeq, a predicted model, not a curated record
GGCCGCUAACCGCUCCCGUAACUGACUUCCAGGGGCGGAGCUGCGCCGCGAGAGGGAGGCCCAAGUAGCGAGCAGGCAACAAGCGGGCAGUGUGCAUAGUUUGCUAGAAGUCACAACCUGAAUUAUGUCCUGAGACCCCAGAAAACAAUUGUAAAUUAAGAAGAAAAUUGAAUACACUCAUUGGAUAAGCAGUUUCACGCAACAAAGGUUGGUGUGACCAGGUGACUGAACUGUAACCAAUGGGAAGUGGGUGGCUCAUGAAACUUUUCUAAGCAUGAUUCAACAUUCUCUUUCCUUACUGAGAGAGUGAACUGAAUCCAAAUAUUCUAAAGCCCUCAGGAAUGGUGGAGGCAUGAGAUGGAAAGAAGCUGUUUCUGCAGUGUCUUCCAAUUGACCAUGUGUGCGGUAGAAAUAAACCUUAUUAAGGCACUGAAA